RNAcentral lists this small nucleolar RNA (149 nucleotides) under Triticum aestivum (bread wheat). RNAcentral's name for it is "Small nucleolar RNA Z112". It matches the Rfam family "Small nucleolar RNA Z112". From Rfam's summary of the family: Z112 is a member of the C/D class of snoRNA which contain the C (UGAUGA) and D (CUGA) box motifs. Most of the members of the box C/D family function in directing site-specific 2'-O-methylation of substrate RNAs. The record is from Rfam by way of RNAcentral. Lineage: Eukaryota; Viridiplantae; Streptophyta; Magnoliopsida; Poales; Poaceae.
GUCUCGGUGAAGAGCUCUAGACCAUAGGAAGUGCCGUAUGACACUGCCGUGUUUAUCAUAACCUCUGUGGUUUUGUCUGGGAUGGUAUUACCCAAUUGCACCGGCUUGAUUCAGCUGUGUGCUUGAUUUUAAACGAGGAUUUCUGCAAU